Molecule: ribosomal RNA, 451 nt
Filed under: uncultured Rhodoferax sp.
Lineage: Bacteria; Pseudomonadati; Pseudomonadota; Betaproteobacteria; Burkholderiales; Comamonadaceae
Description: bacterial SSU rRNA
Rfam family: Bacterial small subunit ribosomal RNA
Source: RNAcentral
GCGGUGGAUGAUGUGGUUUAAUUCGAUGCAACGCGAAAACCUUACCCACCUUUGACAUGUACGGAAGCCUUUAGAGAUAGGGCGUGCUCGAAAGAGAGCCGUAACACAGGUGCUGCAUGGCUGUCGUCAGCUCGUGUCGUGAGAUGUUGGGUUAAGUCCCGCAACGAGCGCAACCCUUGUCAUUAGUUGCUACAUUCAGUUGGGCACUCUAAUGAGACUGCCGGUGACAAGCCGGAGGAAGGUGGGGAUGACGUCAAGUCCUCAUGGCCCUUAUAGGUGGGGCUACACACGUCAUACAAUGGCUGGUACAAAGGGUUGCCAACCCGCGAGGGGGAGCUAAUCCCAUAAAGCCAGUCGUAGUCCGGAUCGUAGUCUGCAACUCGACUACGUGAAGUCGGAAUCGCUAGUAAUCGUGGAUCAGAAUGUCACGGUGAAUACGUUCCCGGGUCUU